GAUGAACGCUAGCUACAGGCUUAACACAUGCAAGUCGAGGGACCGGCGCACGGGAGAGUAACACGUAUCCAACCUUCCCUUUACUCGGGGAUAGCCUUUCGAAAGAAAGAUUAAUACCCGAUAUAAAGGAUGGGGAUGCGUUCGAUUAGGUUGUUGGGGAGGUAACGGCUAACCAAGCCUUCGAUGGGUAGGGGUUCUGAGAGGAAGGUCCCCCACAUUGGAACUGCGACACGGUCCAAAAUCCUACGGGAGGCAGCAGUGAGGAAUAUUGGGCAAUGGGCGCUAGCCGUAACCAGCCAAGUAGCGUGAAGAAGGAAGGCUUAUGAAUCGUAAACUUCUUUUAUAUAAGAAUAUGUAUUAUAUGAAUAAGGAUCGGCUAACUCCGUGCCAGCAGCCGCGGUAAUUC
Molecule: ribosomal RNA, 406 nt
Filed under: uncultured bacterium
Lineage: Bacteria
Description: partial 16S ribosomal RNA
Rfam family: Bacterial small subunit ribosomal RNA
Source: RNAcentral